RNAcentral lists this ribosomal RNA (465 nucleotides) under uncultured bacterium. RNAcentral describes it as "bacterial SSU rRNA". It matches the Rfam family "Bacterial small subunit ribosomal RNA", at positions 337 to 794 of the family's 1533-position model. The record is from RNAcentral.
UCCUACGGGGGGCAGCAGUGGGGAAUAUUGGACAAUGGGCGAAAGCCUGAUCCAGCCAUGCCGCGUGUGUGAAGAAGGUCUUCGGAUUGUAAAGCACUUUAAGUUGGGAGGAAGGGCAGUAAGUUAAUACCUUGCUGUUUUGACGUUACCAACAGAAUAAGCACCGGCUAACUUCGUGCCAGCAGCCGCGGUAAUACGAAGGGUGCAAGCGUUAAUCGGAAUUACUGGGCGUAAAGCGCGCGUAGGUGGUUCAGCAAGUUGGAUGUGAAAUCCCCGGGCUCAACCUGGGAACUGCAUCCAAAACUACUGAGCUAGAGUACGGUAGAGGGUGGUGGAAUUUCCUGUGUAGCGGUGAAAUGCGUAGAUAUAGGAAGGAACACCAGUGGCGAAGGCGACCACCUGGACUGAUACUGACACUGAGGUGCGAAAGCGUGGGGAGCAAACAGGAUUAGAUACCCCGGUAGC